This 459-nucleotide ribosomal RNA is filed under the name uncultured bacterium. RNAcentral's name for it is "partial 16S ribosomal RNA". It matches the Rfam family "Bacterial small subunit ribosomal RNA", at positions 28 to 507 of the family's 1533-position model. The record is from RNAcentral.
GAUGAACGCUGGCGGCGCGCCUAACACAUGCAAGUCGAACGGCACCCCUCCUCGGAGGGAAGCGAGUGGCGAACGGCUGAGUAACACGUGGAGAACCUGCCCCCUCCCCCGGGAUAGCCGCCCGAAAGGACGGGUAAUACCGGAUACCCCGGGGUGCCGCCUGGCACCCCGGCUAAAGCCCCGCCGGGAGGGGAUGGCUCCGCGGCCCAUCAGGUAGACGGCGGGGUGACGGCCCACCGUGCCGACAACGGGUAGCCGGGUUGAGAGACUGGCCGGCCAGAUUGGGACUGAGACACGGCCCAGACUCCUACGGGAGACAGCAGUGGGGAAUCUUGCGCAAUGGGGGGAACCCUGACGCAGCGACGCCGCGUGCGGGACGGAGGCCUUCGGGUCGUAAACCGCUUUCAGCAGGGAAGAGUCAAGACUGUACCUGCAGAAGAAGCCCCGGCUAACUACGUG